CAUUAACAGUAAGAUAUAAUUUUGUAUGCAAAAGAACAUUAAACAAUCAAAUCAAUAAAUAGACUGUGACCUCUAAUAGAAGCAUUACACUAAACUAAACCCCCAGCACAGGAGCUAGCGGAAGAAUGUGGAAGUACUCAAAUUUUGUCAACUAAUGUCGCCAAGUAGUCUAACAGGCCAUUUGUUGUGAGCAGCAGUUUCCUAACUCGAUUCUACACAUUUAGUUCAUAUUA
Bactrocera oleae (olive fruit fly) is the source of this 233-nucleotide non-coding RNA. NCBI's taxonomy places the organism in Eukaryota, Metazoa, Arthropoda, Insecta, Diptera, Tephritidae. The record is from RefSeq and is a predicted model, not a curated record.